Non-coding RNA from Cherax quadricarinatus, 4105 nucleotides. The record is from RefSeq and is a predicted model, not a curated record. Lineage: Eukaryota; Metazoa; Arthropoda; Malacostraca; Decapoda; Parastacidae.
AUUAUAGAUGAGGAUGUAUCUUUAUUUUAACAUACAAAGAUGUUUAGUUAUUCAUUUAGGCAUUUCAUAAUGCACAAAUUAGUACUUCUCGGAAUUACUCUAAAGUACUGGGCAGAAAAAUAUAUGCCAAACCUGAGUAAAUAUUUAUAAAAAAUAUAUUAGCAACAGCAUUACAGCAAUCAAUAGCAUACAUUAAACAAAUCUGAGAUGAAACUAGAUGACAUUUUAGCUUGUCUUUGACAGUUAUCAAGUCAAGAGGGUUACAGUAGUUGUGAAUGGCUCCAACCAAGGCAUUGUGGCUUGGUCAACAUACUGUAUAUGGGCAUUAAUCACAAACAAGCACUGCAAGAUGCAAAACAGCCAUAGGGAGAGUUGAAUUAUAGCUCUAGGCCUUUCAUGUUGCAAUUGACAUCUUUAAGAGUAUUCAGUGUUGCAGAAAUGAGUAGGAAGUCCAGGUAUAUUUGUUUAGGAAAAGGGCUCUGGCUAGAGCCUUUCCCCUGAAUAAAUGAACCUGGACUUCCUACUCAUUUUUGCAACAUUGUAAGCUCCUGAAGAUGUGUUGAGCUAUCAUUCAACUCCCCCUGUGGUUGUUUUGCAUACUGUGUAUGUAUGGAGAACAGACUACGUACAACCAUCUUCCUAAGAGAAGAAAGUUGCCAAUAGAGAUAGGUCAGUAAAGAUAAAGAAGAUGCAUGAAAAUAGCAUAAAUGAGCUCACAUUGAGUAAGAGAAAUUUAAAUGACUACUGUAUAUUUCAAUAUCUGUUCUAUUUUCUCCAGAUGAGUGAGCUCAUUGUGCCAUUGACCAGCUUGUUUACACUUUUGUGCAUCAAUAUGUCAGCAUGUGAAUACAGGAUAGUCAUUGAAUUUCUCUUGCCAGAAAGUCAUCGUAACUCACAUAUAAUACAGGGUGUUUGUGGUUUAUGAGGACACAGGUUACAAACAAGGUCUUAAGGACAUACAGUAACACUAAGAAAAAGUCUGCGUGAAUGCCAGUUUGCAGUUAUUUUGAACACUAUUAUCUUUGGUACUGUACUAAAAUUUUCUCUAGUACACUAGGUUUGUGAUUUUAAAUGACUUGUUAGUACCUAAGUUAUAAUGCCAGAAAUGCAAGUCAUUCAUAAGUUGGAAACUGAAGUUUUUGGGUUGGCUGCUUCCUGAUAAGGUAGCUUUUGUUUGGAUUGCAAUCAAAAUAAUUUUGAAUUUACUUUUUCAAAGCAAGGAAAAGUGGGGACUACAAUUUGACAUACCUAGGUGGCCAAGAUAAUGUGAACACAAAAUUUUAUGUAAAUGUGGAAAAUGAACAUAUGAGGAGACACUUAUGCUAUUGUAUCUUUACAAAAGUUAGCUGUCAUUUUCUUUUUGUACAGUUGUCUCAUUUGUCUAAAUUAUAGCAGUUCCAUGUGUUUACCAUUAUUGCAUCUCUGUUACUUCUUCCUCCAUUGGUGUACUAUUAAUCAUUGCCAUUGUUCAUCUAUUAACACUUCCCAUAGUGGUUAUUAAUUAGAUUUUCAAAAAUGUGUUGCAGAAGUCUUUGUUUUUUAAACCAUUGAACAUGUGGUGGUAUGAACAUUAUUGAUGUUUAUAUUUAAAGUGAAGAUUUGUGACAGAAAAAUUUCUUAAAUACAAAUAAAUGUAUAGCAUCUUGCUUUAGUAACACAGAUGAUUCCCAACUUAAGAACUGCUGAGCUACUAACCUCUACUUACAAAAAAGUCCAUUAGUAACUGAUUGUUUUGCAAAUGCUGAUCCUUAAUCUGUAUACACGACCAUCCUUUUGUAGUGUUUUCUUUGAACAAAUAAGUUCCAUGAAACUCACCAAAUUGUGUAAUGAAGAGUAAAAAGGCACAAUACCAUGAUUGAAACAAUAAGUUGUAGGGACAGGCCUGCCAUUUUUUGUUCCAUGUUAUAAAUAACUUGUUUGCAGGUUGAAGCACAGGCAAUGCAACUUAUUGGUUAUUUAUCCUUGCACUCACAACUUUAACAGGCUGCUAUUUUUUUAUUAUUUCAUUUAUGAAGCAGCUGCAAAGUAUAUACAGUGGAACCUUGGUUUUUGUCAUUAAUUUGUUCCAGAAAGUCUGAAGCAAUAUUUCCCAUAAAUAAUGAAAAUCCAAUUAAUCUGUUCCAGACACCCAAAAGUAUUAACAAAAAGAUACAUUUUAUAGAGAAUAUAGUUUUACAUACAGAAAACAAUGAGAAAUAAAUAUAAAGGACUAAUGAACAUUUAACAUCACUUUUACCUUUAUUGAAGACUCUUGUUGGUGUAUGGAAGAUGGCAAGGAGGGUAGAAGUUAUCUCUACCACCCUGAAACAAAGCCAGACUGACUCAGAAUGCGUGGGAUGCCACAUUUGGUAUGGCGGACCAUUGUCAACUCAAUGAAAACCGAGGUGAUGAACAAAAACUGGGACAAAAUUUUGACGAAAAAAGUCGUUGAAAACCGAGGUUCCACUGUACUGUACACUAUGCAAAGAAUCCUCAGCCUUUAAACGGAUUGCAUUGCAGGUGUUCCUACUUUUAAGUUUUCAAAAUGAAAUGAAUUUUUCUGUAGAAAAUGGCAGUACUGGAUGGUUCUUUUACACGUACAGUGGACCCCCGCAUAGCGAACGCCUUGCAUAGCGAACAUUCCGCAUAGCGAACGCUUUGAUCGCUAAAAUUUUGCCCCGCAUAGUAGACAAAAACCCGCUCAGCGAACUUCGUCCGAGACGCGUCCAAUGUGCGGCCUCAGCCAGCCUCACAUGUGCCGCCUGUCCCAUUGUUUACCAGCUAGCCUCCGCGGUAACAUUCAAGCAUACACUCGGAAUAUUUCGUAUUAUUACAGUGUUUUCGGUUCUGUUUGUUGAAAAUAAGUGACCAUGGGCCCCAAGAAAGCUUCUAGUGCCAACCCUGUGGUAAAAAGGGUGAGAAUUAGUAUGGAAAUUAAGAAAGAUUUUGAAGGGUUUGGGGCUAACCCUGAGAAGCCUAUGCCAGUUGUGGAAUCCAUUGUGCCUACUUCAAAAAUUAAGGAAAUGUGUGCACAGUGGGUUGAACUGCAAACCUUUAUGGAUGAAAAUCACCCUGACACAGCUGUUGCAAGGCGUGCUGGUGACUAUUUCAAUGACAAUGUUAUGGCCCAUUUUAGACAAAUCGUAAAGGAACGGGAGGUACAGAGCUCUAUGGACAGAAAGAAGUCCAGUGACUCUGAAGCUGGUCCUAGUGGCAUUAAAAGAAGAAGGGAAGUAACCCCGGAAAAGGACUUGCCUCCUCAAGUGUUAAUGGAAGGGGAUUCCCCUUCUAAACACUAACACUCUCUCUCCCCUCCUCCCAUCCCAUCAAUCAUCACCAGAUCUUCAAUAAACGUAAGUGUCAUGUAAUUGUGCAUGCCUUUUUCAGUUUGUGUGUACUAAAAUUAACAUUUUUUUGUGGUAAAAAAUUUUUUUUUUCAUACUUUUGGGUGUCUUGCACGGAUUAAUUUUAUUUCCAUUAUUUCUUAUGGGGAAAAUUAAUUCGCAUAGCGAACAUUUCGCAUAACGACCAGCCCUCUUGCACGGAUUAAGUUCGCUAUGCGGGGGUCCACUGUACUGCGCUGUAUAGCCCUUGUGGUUUAGCGCUUCUUUUUGAUUAUAAUAAUAAUUUUACAUGUACUCAUAAUUGUAAAUUAGCAUUCACAAAGCAAUUUUUUGUAAGGUAGAUAUUGGUAACUGAUGUUCAUAAGUUAGGCUCCUCUGAAUAAACUAUGAUUUCUCAAUGUAAUAUCUGUUUUAUUUCUUAAUGGAAGUACUGUAGUUAUGCACUAAAUUUAGCAAGUUGUUUAUUAAUAGGUGCAUAUAUAGAUGUAUGAAUACUUUAAAAUUCCUAGACAGUAACAGUAAAGUUUAAUGGCAAUAGUUUCCUGAAAGUUUUAUUACAUGCAUCUAGGCCUCAGAGAUUUUCAUGAGGAAGCAUUAAACAGACAGGAGUCAUUCAGUGUUUGGAGAAUUGGAACAAUCAUAUUUCAUACAAGAAAGUGCUGGAGUGGGUUUAAUUCCAGGAAUCAAAAGUCUUGAAUGAUGUAAAAAGAGAUACUUCAGUUUGUGUUUGCUGUGAGGUGGUAGAGAGGUAUUUAAAUUAUCUUCUCAUGUUGCACAAUUUU